This 422-nucleotide ribosomal RNA is filed under the name uncultured bacterium. RNAcentral describes it as "bacterial SSU rRNA". It matches the Rfam family "Bacterial small subunit ribosomal RNA", at positions 360 to 773 of the family's 1533-position model. The record is from RNAcentral.
AAUAUUGGACAAUGGGCGAAAGCCUGAUCCAGCAAUACCGCGUGUGUGAAGAAGGCCCUAGGGUUGUAAAGCACUUUUGUUAGGGAGAACGGGUUUUGUAGUUAAUAGCUACAGGAUCUGAUGUUACCUAAAGAAUAAGCACCGGCUAACUCCGUGCCAGCAGCCGCGGUAAUACGGAGGGUGCAAGCGUUAAUCGGAAUUACUGGGCGUAAAGGGCGCGUAGGUGGUAACUUAAGUUGGGUGUGAAAUCCCCGGGCUCAACCUGGGAAUUGCAUCCAAAACUGGGUUGCUAGAGUGUGGUAGAGGGUAGCGGAAUUUCUGGUGUAGCGGUGAAAUGCGUAGAUAUCAGAAGGAACAUCAAUGGCGAAGGCAGCUACCUGGGCCAACACUGACGCUGAGGCGCGAAAGCGUGGGGAGCAAAC